AGCUGGAAUCGCUAGUAAUCGCGAAUCAGCAUGUCGCGGUGAAUACGUUCCCGGGUCUUGUACACACCGCCCGUCACACCAUGGGAGUUGGCAACGCCCGAAGCCAGUGACCCAACCCUUAAGGGAGGGAGCUGUCGAAGGCGGGGCCGGUAACUGGGGUGAAGUCGUAACAAGGUAGC
RNAcentral lists this ribosomal RNA (179 nucleotides) under uncultured bacterium. RNAcentral's name for it is "partial 16S ribosomal RNA". It matches the Rfam family "Bacterial small subunit ribosomal RNA", at positions 1324 to 1500 of the family's 1533-position model. The record is from RNAcentral.